GACGAACGCUGGCGGCGUGCUUAACACAUGCAAGUCGAACGGAAAGGCCCUGCUUUUGUGGGGUGCUCGAGUGGCGAACGGGUGAGUAACACGUGAGUAACCUGCCCUUGACUUUGGGAUAACUUCAGGAAACUGGGGCUAAUACCGGAUAGGAGCUCCUGCUGCAUGGUGGGGGUUGGAAAGUUUCGGCGGUUGGGGAUGGACUCGCGGCUUAUCAGCUUGUUGGUGGGGUAGUGGCUUACCAAGGCUUUGACGGGUAGCCGGCCUGAGAGGGUGACCGGCCACAUUAGGACUGAGAGACGGCCCAGACGCGUACGGGAGGCAGCAGUGGGGAGUAUUGCACAAUGGGCCGAAGCCUGAUGCAGCAGCGCCGCGUGCGGGAUGACGGCCUUCGGGUUGUAAACCGCUGUCGCCUGUGACGAAGCGGGAGUGACGGUAAUGGGUAAAGAAGCACCGGCUAACUACGUG
This 468-nucleotide ribosomal RNA is filed under the name uncultured bacterium. RNAcentral's name for it is "partial 16S ribosomal RNA". It matches the Rfam family "Bacterial small subunit ribosomal RNA", at positions 28 to 507 of the family's 1533-position model. The record is from RNAcentral.